AGUGAACGCUGGCGGUAGGCCUAACACAUGCAAGUCGAACGGCAGCACAGUAAGAGCUUGCUCUUACGGGUGGCGAGUGGCGGACGGGUGAGGAAUACAUCGGAAUCUACUUUUUCGUGGGGGAUAACGUAGGGAAACUUACGCUAAUACCGCAUACGACCUACGGGUGAAAGCAGGGGAUCUUCGGACCUUUCGCGAUUGAAUGAGCCGAUGUCGGAUUAGCUAGUUGGCGGGGUAAAGGCCCACCAAGGCGACGAUCCGUAGCUGGUCUGAGAGGAUGAUAGGAGACACGGGAACUGAGAGAAGGUCCAGACUACUACGGGAGGCAGCAGGAGGGGAUAUUGGGCAAUGGGCGAAAGUCGGACGGAGAAACGGCGGGGGAGUGAAGAAGGCCUUCGGAUCGUAAAACGCUGUUAUGAGGAAAGAACAAAUGUGGAAGUAAAUAUGCAUGUAGUGACGGUACCUAAGCAGAAAGCAACGGCUAACUACGUG
RNAcentral lists this ribosomal RNA (492 nucleotides) under uncultured bacterium. RNAcentral's name for it is "partial 16S ribosomal RNA". It matches the Rfam family "Bacterial small subunit ribosomal RNA", at positions 29 to 507 of the family's 1533-position model. The record is from RNAcentral.